Molecule: RNA transcript, 5984 nt
Organism: Panicum virgatum (switchgrass)
Lineage: Eukaryota; Viridiplantae; Streptophyta; Magnoliopsida; Poales; Poaceae
Gene name: zinc finger MYM-type protein 1-like
Exons: 17
Source: RefSeq, a predicted model, not a curated record
GCCGGAGCGCGCCAGUUUGGCCGGACCGGUCUGCUCCCACCCCGCUCUCCCUCUCCCUGCUACAGCCCGCCGCCGUUCCCCUCGCUCCGCCCUCCACUCUCCCCUCUCCCCUCUCCACGCCCCAGCCGCCACGACGCCCAAUCCCUACCGAUGCGGCUGCCGUGUUGGUCCGCCCUGUCCCUCUCCGUCCAUCCGUGUCGCCUCAACGAUGGCGUCGGCGGCGGCUGCCCGUCCCUGACCCCGAGUCUUCCCCCUGAGGUAGGUCAAGACCUCAGCUGCCUCCGCCUCGCCAACCCCCCGCCCCCGCUUCUCCACGCCGGCGUGCGACGCCCCGCCGCGUCGGCCGCCCUCCCCGCCGCGGACCGCCCACACGCGGUGCGUGCCUUGCCGCGGCGGCCACCAUCUCCGCCGUGGAUCCCUCACGCGCGGUGCGUGCCCUCCGCGGCGGCCGCCCUCCACCUCAAGAUGGACCGCUGGCCUCCCUGAGCCCUCCCCCUCGCGACGGACCGCCAGGAUCCCCUCAUGAUGGACCACCGGCCUCUCCCUCCCCACGGAUUCCCCAUCGCGCCGUCACGCCACCAUCCCCUUCGACCGCUGCAGCUGCAGGGGCCGACAGAGCCAAAGGAGAUCGAGCUAGCGUGUGGGUGGCACAACAGAGAUGUGCAGGGACAGCGGAAUUGAUCUGGCAACAUGCAUGAAUCCCCUCUAUUCAGAUCCAUUUAUAUAUAUUCAUAUUUCCUCAUGUCUGGUGGACGGAGAACUGCAGCAUUCCUGCAUUCAUUCAGGAGAAUAGUGAACAGUAGAAAGUUGUGGAGUCCUAAACAGGAUCAAGCCUGGGUCCAUGACAGAUUUGGUGAGAUGGAUGCGCAUGAUAUUCAUGGUGAAAAUGUAAAGUUGUGGAGUCCUAAACAGGAUCAAGCCUGGGUCCAUGACAGAUUUGGUGAGAUGGAUGCGCAUGAUAUUCAUGGUGAAAAUCCAAAAAGAAAUCAGGGAGGUCACUUUAGAGGACGAGGUGGUGGACCUGGUGGGUAGAACUCGUUGUAUUAGUCAUGGUAACUUCAGAGGCAACAGAUCUCGAACAUACUAUCAUGAUAGUAGCAAGAACUACAGCUAUGUUCCAAAGGAUUCUCAUUCUUACCAUGAGAACACCAAGAAUGCUCAACAUGCUUUGUACGAUAAUGGGAAGUUCCAAAACCAUAUCGUGCUCCCUAUGAUAAUGUCAGAAAUGACAUUGUUCCCAAAGAAUCUCGCACUUACUAUGGUGAUGCUAAAAGUCAAAAGAAUACACCAGGAGUAGCUCGAGGAAGAGGCUCCAAGCAUUAUCAACCACGUUUGAGAAGUACGACUUAUACUUCUUCAAUGCAAAAUAAUAGGUGAGUCAUCUUUUUUGAGCGGUCAAUCUUAUCACCUAUUCAUAUUCUAUAUAUAGGACAAAGGAAUAUUGGAGCAAAUGAAUUUUGUAAACAACUACAACUGUUGUCAUGUGUGAAAUCUUGGGGCAUAGUGACACAGCUUACAUGCCCAUCUUUUUCCUUGUUCUGUGAUGGAACACAUGAACAAGUCCAUAUUUUAGGAGAAAAAACAGACUGAACUCAUGACUGUUCUUUUACUGGUCAAUUUUGUUGUUCCUUAACAUGCACUUACAUGGCUGUGGUCUAUCUUCAUCAUGGCCAAAUGUGGUUGAUAAGAUUUAGUUGUUCUAAGGAGCCUUUUAAGAUUUUUAUAUACCAAAUGAAAUAUAUUAUUUAUGAAAUAUGUCUUCUGAUUAUUUUUUUAAUUUGGAAAAGAUCUGGUAUAGUGCUUAUGUUAUUGCUCAUAGCAGUGUAAUUUCCCAUUGUCACAUUGGGGCAUCUGGCAUACCUAAAUCUCAUCUAAUUUGAGAAUGUAUUUGGCGUUUGGCGUAGAUGGAUUUUAGUGGAACUCAACAGUUUCUUCCCUUUGGUGGCUGAAUGCAUGUAUGCCUAAUAGUAUGUGAUCGUUAUCAUUUUUCAAGUCCCAUGCUAAAAAUACUAGAAAAUAUUGUAGUUCUCUUUUGUCAGGUCAACUAAAUCAUCGCAAGCCAAUAAGUUUUCUGGUGGGGAUUCAACUAGAGAAGAUAUCAAUUCAUGAAGACGUAUUCAAAUAAAGAUUUCAGAAUGUCAAAAAGAACUUUACAAUCAUACUUUUCAAGUUCAAGUGCUUCAACUCCACACACUAAUGAGAGCACAUCUGAACCAAAGAAAUCUAGAGUGGAGCUUAGUCAUUCAGAUUUAAUUGGGGAUCCUGGAAAGCGCAAACCAAUUGAUGAUUAUCAGCCUGAAAUUAGAGAUCAAGUAAAGAGGGCAUAUGCUUUGAAUGGACCAACUCAACCUCGUGAUAUCAUAUUUCCUCGUAAAUGGAUGAGUGGUGAAUUUAGAUCUUUUCAGAAGACUUGGUUUGAUGAAUUUGAUUGGCUAGAGUAUAGUGAGUACAAAGGUGCAGCUUAUUGCUUGUAUUGCUAUCUCUUCUUUAAUUCGUCAAAGCCUGAAAAAUUUGGUAGUUCAGUCUUUGCACAUCAAGGUUAUGUGAAUUGGAAGAAAGCUAAGGAUACUUUUAAUAAGCACAAUGUUUGCAAGACUCAUGUAGAAGCUAGGCAAAAGUGUGAAGACUUUAUGAACCAAAGGACAAAUGUGGGUAGAAAAUUAGUUCAAGUGGGUAAGGAGGAAGAAAAACGCUAUGAGAUUCGUUUGACAACUUCUUUAGAUGUUGCAAGAUUUCUCAUAAUGCAAGGGGAUGCUUUCCGUGGACAUGAUGAGUCUUCUACUUCGCUUAACAAGGGUACAUUUAGAGAAAUGGUUGAUUGGUACAAAGAUAAGGUUGAGAUAGUGAAGACGGCAUAUGAAAAAGGUUACAAAAAUUGCCAAAUGUUAUCUCCUUAUGUGCAGAAAGAUCUUACAAAAGCUUGUGCAGAGGAAGUCAUGAGUGUCAUUAUGGAUGAGAUUCGUGGUAGAAAAUUCUUAGUGCUUAUUGAUGAGUCUCGAGAUGUAUCAAUAAAGGAGCAAAUGGCAGUGAUUCUAAGGUUUGUGAAUGAUGAAGGGAAAGUGAUGGAGAGAUUUCUUGGACUUCAGCAUGUUGAGAGUUGUACAGCUAUUGCAUUGAAAGAAGCUUUGGUCCGUAUGCUUUCAAGUCGUAAGUUAUCAAUCUCUGUGCUUCGUGGGCAAGGGUAUGAUGGAGCUUCUAAUAUGAGAGAUAUUGCAGAUUUCUUUAACUAUGUUCCUUUAAUAGUCAACACUGUGGGUGCAUCUUGUAUGAGAAAGGAUGUUUUGCUUGCAAAGCAUCAUGAUAUGUUGCUAGAAAAGAUUGAGAAUGGUGAGAUUAUGACCGGAAGAGGUUUAAACCAGGAAAGUGGUCUAGCUAGACCUGGAGACACCAGACGGGGUUCACAUCUUAAAACUUUGCUUCCCAUUUUGGUGAUGUGGGAGGCUAUCAUAGAUGUCCUUGAGAUAGUCAAGAAAGAUUCUGUUAAACCAGCAUGUACUAGAGGAGCUUUAGGUUUGAUUGGAAAAAUGGAGAGCUUUGAUUUUGUGUUCAUCAUGCAUUUGAUGAUAGAAUUGUUGGGCAUGACAGAUAUUUUGUCACGUGCUUUGCAAAGGAAAGACCAAGACAUAGUUGAAGCUAUGCAUUUGAUAACGGAUGUGAAAGAUAGCUUGCAGGAUAUAAGAGAAAAUGGAUGGGAGCCAUUACUCAAAAAAGUGAAAACUUUCUGUGAGAAGAAUGAGAUUGAAGUGCCGGAUAUGGAUGAGGAAAUAAAUAUCAGAGGGACAUCUAGACGUAGGAAGCAAAAGAUUGCUUCUUCGGAUGAAUAAUGGGUGUCACCGUCACGCCCGUCGUCUAUUAGUCUCGUACUUUGGCUUUUCGGCCAUCUUGAUCUCUUUAAUUAGUGUGUGAUUUUAAUUGAAGAGAUUGGGGAGCAUGUCUUUGGGCAAUGAUAGGUCUUGGAUGCGCUUGCCGCAACAAGCAGAGGAGUGACAAAAAGGAUUCAAGAAAUUUAUAGAUCAUAUAUUUGCUGGAACAUUGAAAGGAGAAACGGCACCCUGUCCAUGCACUAGAUGUCGCUCAAUGUCCUACAAAACAAUUAAAGAAGUUAGAUCUCAUUUGAUUCAUAGAGGCUUUUAUGAAAGUUUUAUCCAAGGGGAAGGAGAAGAAAAAUAUUCAUUUGGAGGCAUCAGUGAAGGGGUUGGCAAUGAAGGUGGAACCGGUGACUGUGAUUCUGUAAAGGAUAUGAUGGAGUCACUAAUCCGUGGUUCGAUACAUGGAGAGAUCAUGGAUGCUGAAUCUGAAGAGCCGAAUGAAAGUGCCAAGACAUUCUUUAAAUUAUUAACAGAGGCAAAGAGGGAACUUUAUCCAGGUUGCAAGGAGGCUACUAAGUGUCAUAUAUACAAGAUGAUGAUGAUACUGAUGAUGGUAGAGUUGGUGCUGAUGUACACCGCACUCGUAGCCCAUCACCACAAAAAGAGUGGCCAUCUCAUGCGAGGUGUAGAACUGGAAAAGAGAAAGGUUCAAUUGGAGGUCCUAAUAAAGCUGGGCGUGGUACCCUGAAGGGUUUAUCAGCAGCCAUAAAGAGAAUAAAGAGUGGCUCCCAGAAACUAAAAAUUGAUUUUUCACCGAGACUGGGAGGUCCCAUAGGCGAUAACUAUCGUGCAUUUGUGGAUGAAGUGGUACUAUUUAUGAGAAAAAGGGCUCCACUUAUUGGAGUCAAAUUCUGGAAACACAUAGAUCAAGAUGUCAAAAAUUCUAUAGCACUCGAUGUUAUGAAUCGGUGGGACCUUCAAAACACUGAGGAUGGUAAGGAAAAAAUAUGGGCCAUAGCCAAGGAGCGGUACAAAGGAUGGCGUUCAACGUUCAGUGCUACUUACAAAGCAUACGACACUUAUGAUGAAAGAAUGAGGAACAAGCCUGAAGACUUGGACCUUGUUGAGUGGCAUUAUUUGAUUUUAUAUUUUGGAGGUCAAGAUUUCCAAAAGGUAAGCAACAUGAACUCUAAAAACCGUGAGAAAAAAAGGACCAAUCAUUGCAUGGGUUCCAAAUCAUUCUCCAAACUUAGUGAUGAGAAGAAAGAUCCCGAAACAGGUGUAGAACCAGGUGAUUUGAACUUUGGAGGAGUACACACAUGAGGAAUGGGAAAUGGUCAGAUGAAGCUUCUCAGGCUGUCUAUGAUGAAGCACUUUUCAAUGUUGCAGAGACAUGUAUUGACAAAGAGGCUGUAGUAAUAUUAGAUUUAGAGGAAAAUAUUAUUUUCUAGUGUAUCUACAAGAAAACCACAUGAUGCAAAACCUCCACUGUUCAUGGUCAUGGGUAUAUGUCUACACGUCCAAUAGAGAGGGAAUCAAUGAAGGCUCAACUCGAAGAACAUGCCCGUGCUACAGAUGCAGCCAACCAGAAAAAUAUAGAGCUACAAGAAGAGAUUGAGAAGUUAAACGAUAAACUUAAAAACCAAGAAGCUGAAAGUGAAAGGAAAUUGGAAGAAAAAUUGAAGCAGUUCAAAGAGGAAGAGAGUAGGAAAAUCCAAGCACUCAGGGAUGAAUUCAUGGCUGCACUUCAAGGAAAUAGACAGACCCGUUAGCUCCGACUGCCCCAAACAGUUCAGACAUCCAAGGGAAAGCUACACCGCCACCAGUUGAUAAAAGUGCUGUCAAUAUUCCAGAUUCUAAUGCCAAUGAAACCACAUCAGUCCAGAUUACCCCUAAAAUUACAGACAUCCCAGGGUCUGAUAGGCCACCAGUAUGCAAAAUUCCUGCCAAUAUUCCAAUAGUGGGGACAGUUGCAAGCAAAACACCAUCCUCUAAGGCCAAGUGAAGCCUUUCUCAAACCAACAAGCAAUUUAUUUCUCCACAUAACUUGAUGAACGCUAGAGUUAAACGUAUACGGACUAGAAGCCAACAGCUAUGAUAUGUAAAUCUGAUUUGUAUUCGAUUUUUGCAAGUUUUAUACUCAAACUCGAUGAAUGCUGCUGCGAAUGACUUCUA